Molecule: ribosomal RNA, 253 nt
Filed under: uncultured prokaryote
Description: partial 16S ribosomal RNA
Rfam family: Bacterial small subunit ribosomal RNA
Source: RNAcentral
ACAGAGGGUGCGAGCGUUAAUCGGAAUUACUGGGCGUAAAGGGCGCGUAGGCGGUUUAACGGGUGUGAUGUGAAAGCCCUGGGCUUAACCUGGGAAGUGCAUCGCAAACUGGUGAACUGGAGUACAAGAGAGGGUGUCGGAAUUUCCGGUGUAGCGGUGAAAUGCGUAGAGAUCGGAAGGAACGUCGAUGGCGAAGGCAGGCACCUGGCUUGAUACUGACGCUGAAGCGCGAAAGCGUGGGGAGCGAACAGGA